Meloidogyne enterolobii is the source of this 112-nucleotide non-coding RNA. The record is from the annotation of a GenBank genome assembly. Lineage: Eukaryota; Metazoa; Nematoda; Chromadorea; Rhabditida; Meloidogynidae.
GUCCGGUAGCUCAGUUGGUAGAGCAACUGUACGUGGUGAGCAGUUGCUCUACCAACUGAAAGCGCCUAGCAAUAACUGCCAGGAGGUCGCAGGAUCGAGCCUGCCCGUGAUU